GCCGGCGUAGCUUAACGGUAGAGCAGCUAAGUAGUUAUUAGUCGAUCUUAGGUUCGAGUCCUUUGCGUUGGCACCA
This 76-nucleotide transfer RNA is filed under the name Legionellales bacterium. RNAcentral's name for it is "tRNA-Thr". It matches the Rfam family "tRNA". Rfam says of the family: Transfer RNA (tRNA) molecules are approximately 80 nucleotides in length. Their secondary structure includes four short double-helical elements and three loops (D, anti-codon, and T loops). Further hydrogen bonds mediate the characteristic L-shaped molecular structure. tRNAs have two regions of fundamental functional importance: the anti-codon, which is responsible for specific mRNA codon recognition, and the 3' end, to which the tRNAs corresponding amino acid is attached (by aminoacyl-tRNA synthetases). tRNAs cope with the degeneracy of the genetic code in two manners: having more than one tRNA (with a specific anti-codon) for a particular amino acid; and 'wobble' base-pairing, i.e. permitting non-standard base-pairing at the 3rd anti-codon position. Lineage: Bacteria; Pseudomonadati; Pseudomonadota; Gammaproteobacteria; Legionellales. The record is from RNAcentral.